RNAcentral lists this long non-coding RNA (942 nucleotides) under Felis catus (domestic cat). RNAcentral describes it as "lncRNA (ENSFCAG00000046187.2)". The record is from RNAcentral. Lineage: Eukaryota; Metazoa; Chordata; Mammalia; Carnivora; Felidae.
UUCAGAACAGGAGUGCAUUCAGAAGCAUCCUCCGGCGAGGCUGGGAAGCUGCUCACAUCCCCGGAAAAUUCAGUGGGAGAAAAAGUUUAUGGAAGCGAGUAGGAGUUUAUUCAACAGUGUCUGAGCCCUUUCAGAACCAUGAGUGAGUGUCUAUAAAGGGGCAGUCAAGCAUAGGCUGGGAAUUAUCCCUGUUGGGUGCCUACCUGUGACAGGCCCUCAUGAGCUGCUAAGAGGCUCAUUCAGUGCUCAGGGGACAAUGGCCAGUGGGGACAAACAAUUCGGAGGAGUCUAUCAUUCUGGUGGUGUUAUCUUUAGCACUGAAUAAAACCGGAGUUCCCCCUUUCUGCCUCCUAGUCAGCACUAUUUUUAGGAGCCAGUGGUACUUUUCAACUCUCUUUCACUAUUUUUCAACAGGUUCACAAGGGCACGAAGUGCAGUAUAUAAAAAGAGGAUAAUGACUUGACUUGAGUGCAGGAAAAGGCCCAAUGAACAGAGCAGCCAAGCUUGCCCGGACGAGAAUAGAUGAAAGUUUGGAGAAGAGUCAAGAAGAAAUGGCAUUGUCUGCAUGGCCAACAAUCUGAAUUCCUUGAGAGGUUAAAGCUGAGGGAAGUUCUCUUUGGAAGAAGACGCACCUGCUCUCCAUUCAUUUUCCCUUUACUUAAAGGGGCGCUCAGAGCAGCACUGCUUGUCCCUUGGUGAAGGCACUGAAGAACAGAGCUUGUUGUGUUGCUGCUAACAAAAUGGGCCUUGUACCUCUUCAAGUCCUCCUGCGCACCGAAGGACCCUUACACACGAGUGCCGGAAAGUAACAGAGGUUCAGAAGUUAAUGCAAGUAACAGGUCCCACGUUGCCUUGAAUCAGGUGUCCUGCUUCAGCAGCAGGAAAAUAGGCUCAGACCCUUAAGAUUUUUAGACGUGAGCUGGAACCUGCAUUAUAUUUCCA